GGGGCCCGGGGAACCGUACGAGGUGAAGUGGAUCGGGGUGAUGGUGCUUGCACUAUCACUUAGCGGCGGACGGGUGAGUAAUGCUUAGGAAUCUGCCUAUUAGUGGGGGACAACAUCUCGAAAGGGAUGCUAAUACCGCAUACGUCCUACGGGAGAAAGCAGGGGAUCACUUGUGACCUUGCGCUAAUAGAUGAGCCUAAGUCGGAUUAGCUAGUUGGUGGGGUAAAGGCCUACCAAGGCGACGAUCUGUAGCGGGUCUGAGAGGAUGAUCCGCCACACUGGGACUGAGACACGGCCCAAACUCCUACGGGAGGCAGCAGUGGGGAAUAUUGGACAAUGGGGGGAACCCUGAUCCAGCCAUGCCGCGUGUGUGAAGAAGGCCUUAUGGUUGUAAAGCACUUUAAGCGAGGAGGAGGCUCUUUUGGUUAAUACCCAAGAUGAGUGGACGUUACUCGCAAAAUAAGCACCGGCUAACUCUGUGCCAGCAGCCGCGGUAAUACAGAGGGUGCAAGCGUUAAUCGGAUUUACUGGGCGUAAAGCGCGCGUAGGCGGCCAAUUAAGUCAAAUGUGAAAUCCCCGAGCUUAACUUGGGAAUUGCAUUCGAUACUGGUUGGCUAGAGUGUGGGAGAGGAUGGUAGAAUUCCAGGUGUAGCGGUGAAAUGCGUAGAGAUCUGGAGGAAUACCGAUGGCGAAGGCAGCCAUCUGGCCUAACACUGACGCUGAGGUGCGAAAGCAUGGGGAGCAAACAGGAUUAGAUACCCUGGUAGUCCAUGCCGUAAACGAUGUCUACUAGCCGUUGGGGCCUUUGAGGCUUUAGUGGCGCAGCUAACGCGAUAAGUAGACCGCCUGGGGAGUACGGUCGCAAGACUAAAACUCAAAUGAAUUGACGGGGGCCCGCACAAGCGGUGGAGCAUGUGGUUUAAUUCGAUGCAACGCGAAGAACCUUACCUGGCCUUGACAUAGUAGAAACUUUCCAGAGAUGGAUUGGUGCCUUCGGGAUCUACAUACAGGUGCUGCAUGGCUGUCGUCGCUCGUGUCGUGAAAUGUUGGGUUAGUCCCGAACGAGCGCACCCUUUUCUUACUUGCAGCAUUUCGGAGGGAACUUUAAGGAACUGCCGUGACAACUGGAGGAAGGGGGGGACGACGUCAAGUCUUCAUGGCCUUACGGCAGGGUUCCCCCUGCUAAAUGGGCGGUACAAAGGGUGCUCCCUACGAAAGGAGGUAAUCCAAAACCAUCGGUUCCCGGAUUGAGUUGCACCCACUCCUGAAGCGGAACCCUUAAUCCGGAAAAAAACCCGGGAAAAUUUCCG
RNAcentral lists this ribosomal RNA (1310 nucleotides) under Acinetobacter soli. Its description in RNAcentral is "bacterial SSU rRNA". It matches the Rfam family "Bacterial small subunit ribosomal RNA", at positions 39 to 1376 of the family's 1533-position model. Lineage: Bacteria; Pseudomonadati; Pseudomonadota; Gammaproteobacteria; Moraxellales; Moraxellaceae. The record is from RNAcentral.